This 270-nucleotide long non-coding RNA is filed under the name Phoenix dactylifera (date palm). Its description in RNAcentral is "long non-coding RNA (PDAC_LNC023071)". Lineage: Eukaryota; Viridiplantae; Streptophyta; Magnoliopsida; Arecales; Arecaceae. The record is from RNAcentral.
UGAGUUGAUUUUAUAUGCCAAAGAUGGUUUCUUUAAUCUUGGUAUUCAUAGUGCAUAUAUUCCAAAGCAUACCAAGUACACAUUAUCAUAUUUAUGAUUAAUAAACAAUAAUGCCAUGGAUACAAAUUCUUAAUCAAACAUAUAAAGAAUUCAUAGAGUUAUUCUUAAUAAAUUAAUUAAUCAUUUAGCAACUUAUCCAAUAGUGAGUGGAGCAUACUAUAAAAAUGAAGUGAUUUGAAUAUAUUUUCUUUUCAUACCCAAGAAAAAAAA